Non-coding RNA from Heligmosomoides polygyrus, 75 nucleotides. NCBI's taxonomy places the organism in Eukaryota, Metazoa, Nematoda, Chromadorea, Rhabditida, Heligmosomidae. The record is from Rfam.
GCGCCGGUGGUGUAAUGGCGUAGAGCAUUCCGGCCCGGUCAGAGGGAGGUGCGGGUUCGAGUCCCGCCUGGCGCU